RNAcentral lists this small RNA (317 nucleotides) under Pongo abelii (Sumatran orangutan). RNAcentral describes it as "processed transcript". Lineage: Eukaryota; Metazoa; Chordata; Mammalia; Primates; Hominidae. The record is from RNAcentral.
CCUGGGCAGGAUUGGGAGAGAGGUAGCUACCCGGAUGCAGUCCUUUGGGAUGAAGGCCUUCCUUCUCCGUGGCACCACUACACAUCAAAUUCCUGGCUCAGCAAUAUUCUUCAUCAUGGAGACUUCAGCAGUGACUUAAACCAGAUGAAAAGCCCCACCUCAUUCCUGAAUGAUUGAGGUGCUAGAACGUGCUCUUUGUAAACCCCUGAAACAUAGCUUGGAUCAUUCUGCCUCCCACCUCAACCCCUCCGGAGCUGCCUGGACCUCAGCAUUCCGGAGAGUCUAAGUGGCCUCUGCUCGUGCUCAGCUGCUUACCU